ACCGUACUCCUACGGGAGGCAGCAGUGGGGAAUUUUGGACAAUGGGGGCAACCCUGAUCCAGCAAUGCCGCGUGAGUGAAGAAGGCCUUCGGGUUGUAAAGCUCUUUUGUCAGGGAAGAAACGGUAGUAGCUAAUAUCUAUUACUAAUGACGGUACCUGAAGAAUAAGCACCGGCUAACUACGUGCCAGCAGCCGCGGUAAUACGUAGGGUGCAAGCGUUAAUCGGAAUGACUGGGCGUAAAGCGUGCGCAGGCGGUUGUGUAAGUCAGAUGUGAAAUCCCCGGGCUCAACCUGGGAAUUGCAUUUAGGACUGCACGGCUAGAGUGUGUCAGAGGGGUGUAGAAUUCCACGUGUAGCAGUGAAAUGCGUAGAUAUGUGGAGGAAUACCGAUGGCGAAGGCAGCCCCCGGGGAUAACACUGACGCUCAUGCACGAAACCGUGGGGAGCAACCAGGAUUAGAAACCCGAUUAGUCCUUGAC
Molecule: ribosomal RNA, 479 nt
Filed under: uncultured bacterium
Lineage: Bacteria
Description: bacterial SSU rRNA
Rfam family: Bacterial small subunit ribosomal RNA
Source: RNAcentral